CAAAAACAGACUCCAUCAGUGAACUGUUGCCAUUUGAUGGCAAAAUGGAUACAACCGUUUCACCAUCUUGUUUUGGAAUAUGGACCAUUGCUGCUUUUUCAGUAGGAUUAUUGGAACCAGUCACCUGCAUGUUCUGUGAUGGGCCGCUACCAAGUGUAGUGUAUUUUUUUUUUCUUUUUUUUUCUCAGGGUCAUGUGCCUUUUUCAUUUAAGUGUCAGCAUUUGUCAGAUGUGUUUAAUAGACCUCUAACCGUUUACCCUAUUUUCAAAUUUGGAGGUGAUUUUUGGAUUUUGCACAUUCUUAACUGACUUAUAGUAGUGGUGGGAAAGCAAGCCAUAACUCUUAAUUGUAUUACUUUAUUUUCAAAACCAAAUGUAGUUUUCAAGCACAAUAUCUACAUUUGCCAGGACAAUAAUGGUUGUUACAUGUGUCCUUUUCUUUUGUUAAGAAAUUGUAAAUGUAAUGUUUUUUGCACAUAUUUUGCACGACAUUCCUGCAUUAGCCUGGCUGUAUAGUAUUCUCUUGAUGCUGGCUUGAUGUAACUCAGAAGGUGUUUUAAGGACCAAAAUAAUGUUGUCUCAGGUUGUAGCAGUCAUGAAUGUUUACUACACACUCUUGAUAACUUGCAUACCAAGUGUUUCUUGUGAAAGAAAAAGGUGCUUUGUUCUAAUAUGAGAUUUGUUUGUGAAUGUGUGCAUGUGUUUGUGUAUACAUUACACUGAAUCUUCUAUUGUUCUAUGACAAUACAGUUGUAAACUAAACGUUUUUGUUUUGCCUUAUUUAUUUUAAAAAUGUUAAAGGAGUAAAUUCUGUAGGUAAGAGAUUAGUAGAAAUCGCCAUACAGAAAUAAUUUUAGCAUGUAGAAUUUAUACAGAAAAGUAUCCAGGAUCAUUAUCAGACUAACUUGAGCAGGAAGCAGGAAGUUAAUUUAACAGAACAACAUUGCAUAUACUUCACAUAAAAAUCUCAUGUUGCUUCAAUAGGUGAGAAUUGAAUACACUUAACAUAAAAGGGACAUUUUAAAGUAACACAAAAAAAAUAAGUUGGGUUAUCAGAAUAAUUUAAUACAAUUAACAUUAAUAAAAUAUUUUGAAUUUACAUGAGAAAAUCAUGUUUGUUUUACAAAUAAAAAUUAAGUACAUUAAAUAGAAAUGA
Gasterosteus aculeatus aculeatus (three-spined stickleback) is the source of this 1155-nucleotide long non-coding RNA. NCBI's taxonomy places the organism in Eukaryota, Metazoa, Chordata, Actinopteri, Perciformes, Gasterosteidae. The record is from Ensembl.